RNAcentral lists this long non-coding RNA (299 nucleotides) under Linum usitatissimum (flax). Its description in RNAcentral is "long non-coding RNA (LUSI_LNC006239)". Lineage: Eukaryota; Viridiplantae; Streptophyta; Magnoliopsida; Malpighiales; Linaceae. The record is from RNAcentral.
AGCUGACUGAUAAUAUGCUUCGCGACAGCUGAUACUGUCUGCAGAAGAAAAAUGUGAGGACGACAUAACUACGACCAAAAUAACUUUUGGGGAACUCAAAACAUAAAGGGGAUACUACUUGUUCAAGCACAGGUGCUACUACUUGUUCAAGCACAGGUGCUCACCGGCAUUCCCAGAUAAACAAUUCGAGCACCUAACAACCUAGAAGGCAGAUCACGAGGACGAGGAGCUGGCCGCCCACCUUCCCUUCUAACUUUAAGCAUGGAUGUAACCCUACCCUUUUCGUUAAAAUCUGAUAA